UGUAAAUGAUGACAUAACAUGAUCCUGACAUGACUGAGGGUAAAAGCUGAUUUAAUGAGCCUGAUGC
Parambassis ranga (Indian glassy fish) is the source of this 67-nucleotide small nucleolar RNA. NCBI's taxonomy places the organism in Eukaryota, Metazoa, Chordata, Actinopteri, Ambassidae. The record is from Ensembl.